This 274-nucleotide ribosomal RNA is filed under the name uncultured bacterium. RNAcentral describes it as "partial 16S ribosomal RNA". It matches the Rfam family "Archaeal small subunit ribosomal RNA", at positions 473 to 747 of the family's 1478-position model. The record is from RNAcentral.
AAACCAGCACCUCAAGUGGUCAGGAGGAUUAUUGGGCCUAAAGCAUCCGUAGCCUGUUCUAUAAGUUUUCGGUUAAAUCCAUACGCUCAACGUAUGGGCUGCCGGGAAUACUGUGCAGCUAGGGAGUGGGAGAGGUAGACGGUACUCGGUAGGAAGGGGUAAAAUCCUUUGAUCUAUCGAUGACCACCUGUGGCGAAGGCGAUCUACCAGAACACGUUCGACGGUGAGGGAUGAAAGCUGGGGGAGCAAACCGGAUUAGAAACCCGAGUAGUCC